AACGAACGCUGGCGGCAGGCCUAACACAUGCAAGUCGAGCGACGACUUCGGUUCUAGCGGCGGACGGGUGAGUAACGCGUGGGAAUGUGCCCUUCUCUACGGAAUAGCCCUGGGAAACUGGGAGUAAUACCGUAUACGCCCUAUUGGGGAAAGAUUUAUCGGAGAAGGAUCAGCCCGCGUUGGAUUAGGUAGUUGGUGGGGUAAUGGCCUACCAAGCCGACGAUCCAUAGCUGGUUUGAGAGGAUGAUCAGCCACACUGGGACUGAGACACGGCCCAGACUCCUACGGGAGGCAGCAGUGGGGAAUCUUAGACAAUGGGGGCAACCCUGAUCUAGCCAUGCCGCGUGAGUGAUGAAGGCCUUAGGGUUGUAAAGCUCUUUCAGCUGGGAAGAUAAUGACGGUACCAGCAGAAGAAGCCCCGGCUAACUCCGUG
Molecule: ribosomal RNA, 433 nt
Filed under: uncultured bacterium
Lineage: Bacteria
Description: partial 16S ribosomal RNA
Rfam family: Bacterial small subunit ribosomal RNA
Source: RNAcentral